AACGCGAAGAACCUUACCUACCCUUGACAUGUCAAGAAUUUCGCAGAGAUGUGGAAGUGCUCGAAAGAGAACUUGAACACAGGUGCUGCAUGGCCGUCGUCAGCUCGUGUCGUGAGAUGUUGGGUUAAGUCCCGCAACGAGCGCAACCCUUGUCAUUAGUUGCUACGAAAGGGCACUCUAAUGAGACUGCCGGUGACAAACCGGAGGAAGGUGGGGAUGACGUCAGGUCCUCAUGGCCCUUAUGGGUAGGGCUACACACGUCAUACAAUGGCCGGUACAGAGGGUCGCCAACCCGCGAGGGGGAGCCAAUCCCAGAAAACCGGUCGUAGUCCGGAUCGCAGUCUGCAACUCGACUGCGUGAAGUCGGAAUCGCUAGUAAUCGCGGAUCAGCUUGCCGCGGUGAAUACGUUCCCGGGUCUUGUACACACGC
RNAcentral lists this ribosomal RNA (430 nucleotides) under uncultured bacterium. RNAcentral describes it as "bacterial SSU rRNA". It matches the Rfam family "Bacterial small subunit ribosomal RNA", at positions 958 to 1393 of the family's 1533-position model. The record is from RNAcentral.